Molecule: small nuclear RNA, 295 nt
Filed under: Castor canadensis (American beaver)
Lineage: Eukaryota; Metazoa; Chordata; Mammalia; Rodentia; Castoridae
Description: 7SK RNA (ENSCCNG00000000449.1)
Rfam family: 7SK RNA
About the family: 7SK was discovered as an abundant small nuclear RNA in the mid-70s but a possible function has only recently been suggested. Two independent studies have found that 7SK RNA binds the CDK9/cyclin T complex (known as elongation factor P-TEFb).
Source: Rfam by way of RNAcentral
GGAUGUGAGGGCGAUCUGGCUGCAACAUCUGUCACCCCAUUGAUCGCCAGGGUUGAUUCGGCUGAUCUGGCUGGCUAGGCGGGUGUCCCCUUCCUCCCUCACUGCUCCAUGUGCGUCCCUCCCGAAGCUGCGCGCUUGGUCGAAGAGGACGACCAUCCCCGAUAGAGGAGGACUGUUCUUCGGUCAAGGGUAUACGAGUAGCUGCGCUCCCCUGCUAGAACCUCCAAACAAGCUCUCAAAAGUUCAUGUAUUGAAAGCUUAGUUCCCAAUGCAGCAAUGUUCCAAGGUGAGGCUU